CAGCAGCCGCGGUAAUACAGAGGGUGCGAGCGUUAAUCGGAUUUACUGGGCGUAAAGCGUGCGUAGGAGGCUUCUUAAGUCGGAUGUGAAAUCCCUGAGCUUAACUUAGGAAUUGCAUUCGAUACUGGGAAGCUAGAGUAUGGGAGAGGAUGGUAGAAUUCCAGGUGUAGCGGUGAAAUGCGUAGAGAUCUGGAGGAAUACCGAUGGCGAAGGCAGCCAUCUGGCCUAAUACUGACGCUGAGGUACGAAAGCAUGGGGAGCAAACAGGAUUAGAUACCCGGGUAGUCCCUGUCUCUUAUAC
This 301-nucleotide ribosomal RNA is filed under the name uncultured bacterium. RNAcentral describes it as "partial 16S ribosomal RNA". It matches the Rfam family "Bacterial small subunit ribosomal RNA", at positions 509 to 807 of the family's 1533-position model. The record is from RNAcentral.